RNAcentral lists this small RNA (577 nucleotides) under Pongo abelii (Sumatran orangutan). RNAcentral's name for it is "processed transcript". Lineage: Eukaryota; Metazoa; Chordata; Mammalia; Primates; Hominidae. The record is from RNAcentral.
GCGGAGCCGAACAAGACCGAAAUCCAGACUCUUUUUAAGAGGCUUCGCGCGGUUCCAACCAACAAGGCCUGUUUCGACUGCGGCGCCAAGAAUCCGAGUUGGGCCAGCAUCACGUAUGGUGUUUUCUUGUGCAUUGACUGUUCCGGGGUGCACCGCUCUCUGGGCGUCCAUCUGAGCUUCAUCAGGUCCACAGAGUUGGAUUCCAACUGGAACUGGUUCCAGCUGAGGUGUAUGCAGGUCGGCGGGAAUGCCAAUGCGACGGCUUUUUUCCGCCAACAUGGAUGCACAGCCAAUGAUGCCAACACCAAAUAUAAUAGCCGAGCUGCCCAGAUGUACCGGGAGAAGAUCCGGCAGCUGGGGAGCGCGGCCCUGGCUAGGCACGGCACUGAUCUUUGGAUAGACAACAUGAGUAGUGCCGUUCCUAGUCACUCCCCAGAGAAGAAGGACUCUGAUUUCUUCACAGAACACACUCAAUCCCUUUCCUCAUGGGCUUGGAGUAUGAUCUCUUGUCCACAAGGUGCUUGUAGGUCUUGGUGCUUCUUGCCAGCAGGAGUGGCUCACCGAGGCUUCUGUGAUC